GUCGAGAAUCUUUCACAAUGGGGGCAACCCUGAUGGAGCGACGCCGCGUGGAGGAUAAGGUCUUCGGAUUGUAAACUCCUGUCAUGCGUGAACAAGGUUGCUUGGUUAAUACCUGGGCAAAUUGAUGGUAACGCAAGAGGAAGAGACGGCUAACUCUGUGCCAGCAGCCGCGGUAAUACAGAGGUCUCAAGCGUUGUUCGGAAUCACUGGGCGUAAAGGGUGCGUAGGUGGCGUGGUAAGUCAGAUGUGAAAGCCCGGGGCUCAACCUCGGAACUGCAUCCGAGACUGCCAUGCUAGAGUACUGGAGAGGUGACUAGAAUUCUCGGUGUAGCAGUGAAAUGCGUAGAUAUCGAGAGGAAUACCAAAGGCGUAGGCAGGUCACUGGACAGUUACUGACACUGAGGCACGAAGGCCAGGGGAGCGAACGGGAUUAGAUACCCGUGUAGUCC
RNAcentral lists this ribosomal RNA (449 nucleotides) under uncultured bacterium. Its description in RNAcentral is "partial 16S ribosomal RNA". It matches the Rfam family "Bacterial small subunit ribosomal RNA", at positions 354 to 796 of the family's 1533-position model. The record is from RNAcentral.